This 384-nucleotide ribosomal RNA is filed under the name uncultured Methanomicrobiaceae archaeon. RNAcentral describes it as "bacterial SSU rRNA". It matches the Rfam family "Archaeal small subunit ribosomal RNA", at positions 339 to 727 of the family's 1478-position model. Lineage: Archaea; Methanobacteriati; Methanobacteriota; Methanomicrobia; Methanomicrobiales; Methanomicrobiaceae. The record is from RNAcentral.
GCGCGAAAACUUUACAAUGCGGGAAACCGUGAUAAGGGGACCCCGAGUGCCUGUACACGCAGGCUGUUCAGGUGUUUAAAACGCAUCUGGAGAAAGGGCCGGGCAAGACCGGUGCCAGCCGCCGCGGUAAUACCGGCGGCUCGAGUGGUGGCCACUAUUACUGGGCUUAAAGCGUCCGUAGCCGGGUUGUUAAGUCUCCUGGGAAAUCCAACGGCUCAACCGUUGGGCGUUCAGGGGAUACUGGCAAUCUAGGGAUCGGGGGAGGUGAGAGGUACUCUAGGGGUAGGAGUGAAAUCCUGUAAUCCUUGGGGGACCACCUGUGGCGAAGGCGUCUCACCAGAACGACUCCGACGGUGAGGGACGAAAGCUGGGGGAGCAAACCGG